UUGGAGGGCAAGUCUGGUGCCAGCAGCCGCGGUAAUUCCAGCUCCAAUAGCGUAUAUUAAAGUUGUUGCAGUUAAAAAGCUCGUAGUUGAAUUUCGGGAUCAGAUUGUCGGUCGUGCCUCGGUACGCACUGGUAUUAUUGGUUCCUACCUUCUGAAGAACCGCGAUGUCAUUAAUUUGGUGUCGUGGGGAAUCAGGACUGUUACUUUGAAAAAAUUAGAGUGUUUAAAGCAGGCUUACGCUUGAAUACAUUAGCAUGGAAUAAUGAAAUAGGACGUUUGAUUCUAUUUUGUUGGUUUCUAGGAUUGACGUAAUGAUUAAUAGGGAUAGUUGGGGGCAUUAGUAUUCAAUUGUCAGAGGUGAAAUCCUUGGAUUUAUUGAAGACUAACUACUGCGAAAGCAUUUGCCAAGGAUGUUUUCAUUAAUCAAGAACGAAAGUUAGGGGAUCGAAGACGAUCAGAUACCGUCGUAGUCUUAACCAUAAACUAUGCCGACUAGGAAUCAGACGAUGUUAAUUUUUUAAUGACUCGUUUGGCACCUUACGGGAAACCAAAGUGUUUGGGUUC
RNAcentral lists this ribosomal RNA (564 nucleotides) under uncultured Glomeromycotina. RNAcentral describes it as "SSU rRNA". It matches the Rfam family "Eukaryotic small subunit ribosomal RNA", at positions 548 to 1114 of the family's 1831-position model. The record is from RNAcentral. Lineage: Eukaryota; Fungi; Glomeromycota.